GGCUCAAAAGAGGAAGUUGGGGUUGCUAGAUAAUGAUAAUAUGGUUUCUGCACAUCAAAGUUUAGGAGAGAUCAAAGAUGGAGAUAACUCUGGGCCUGCCCGGAAUCGUGAUAACUCAGACAGGGUUUUCUACAAGGAAUUGGUCAAAGUUAUUGAGGCAUCAGAUGUAAUUUUAGAAGUUUUGGAUGCACGAGAUCCCCUUGGCACCCGCUGUGUUGAUAUGGAGAAGAUGGUGAUGAAAGCGGGUCCUAAUAAGCAUCUUGUACUACUGCUGAAUAAAAUUGAUCUUGUCCCUCGA
This 298-nucleotide unclassified non-coding RNA is filed under the name Hevea brasiliensis (rubber tree). The record is from RNAcentral. Lineage: Eukaryota; Viridiplantae; Streptophyta; Magnoliopsida; Malpighiales; Euphorbiaceae.